UGCGGAGGGUGCAAGCGUUGCUCGGAAUUAUUGGGCGUAAAGGGUAGGUAGGUGGUCUUAUUUGUCUGGGGUGAAAGCCUUGAGCUUAACUCAGGAAGUGCCCCAGAAACGGUGAGACUGGAGUCCUGGAGAGGGUCGUGGAAUUCCCGGUGUAGCGGUGAAAUGCGUAGAGAUCGGAAAGAACACCAACGGCGAAAGCACUCUGCUGGGCCGACACUGACACUGAGAGACGAAAGCUAGGGGAGCGAAUGGG
This 253-nucleotide ribosomal RNA is filed under the name uncultured bacterium. Its description in RNAcentral is "partial 16S ribosomal RNA". It matches the Rfam family "Bacterial small subunit ribosomal RNA", at positions 524 to 776 of the family's 1533-position model. The record is from RNAcentral.